Molecule: ribosomal RNA, 1398 nt
Filed under: uncultured bacterium
Lineage: Bacteria
Description: 16S ribosomal RNA
Rfam family: Bacterial small subunit ribosomal RNA
Source: RNAcentral
UUAGAGUUUGAUCCUGGCUCAGGAUGAACGCUAGCGGCAGGCUUAACACAUGCAAGUCGAGGGGCAGCGAGAUCAGUGCUUGCACUGAUUGUCGGCGACCGGCGCACGGGUGCGUAACGCGUAUGCAACCUACCCAUUACAGGGGGAUAACACUGAGAAAUCGGUACUAAUACCCCAUAACAUCCAGGGAGGCAUCUUCUUGGGUUGAAAACUCCGGUGGUAAUGGAUGGGCAUGCGUUGUAUUAGUUAGUUGGUGGGGUAACGGCUCACCAAGACAACGAUACAUAGGGGGACUGAGAGGUUAACCCCCCACAUUGGUACUGAGACACGGACCAAACUCCUACGGGAGGCAGCAGUGAGGAAUAUUGGUCAAUGGACGCAAGUCUGAACCAGCCAUGCCGCGUGCAGGAAGACGGCUCUAUGAGUUGUAAACUGCUUUUGUACGAGGGUAAACGCAGAUACGCGUAUCUGUCUGAAAGUAUCGUACGAAUAAGGAUCGGCUAACUCCGUGCCAGCAGCCGCGGUAAUACGGAGGAUUCAAGCGUUAUCCGGAUUUAUUGGGUUUAAAGGGUGCGUAGGCGGUCGGAUAAGUUAGAGGUGAAAUCCCGGGGCUCAACUUCGGAAUUGCCUCUGAUACUGUUCGGCUAGAGAGUAGUUGCGGUAGGCGGAAUGUAUGGUGUAGCGGUGAAAUGCUUAGAGAUCAUACAGAACACCGAUUGCGAAGGCAGCUUACCAAGCUACUUCUGACGUUGAGGCACGAAAGCGUGGGGAGCAAACAGGAUUAGAUACCCUGGUAGUCCACGCAGUAAACGAUGAUAACUCGUUGUCGGCGAUACAGUGUCGGUGACUAAGCGAAAGCGAUAAGUUAUCCACCUGGGGAGUACGUUCGCAAGAAUGAAACUCAAAGGAAUUGACGGGGGCCCGCACAAGCGGAGGAACAUGUGGUUUAAUUCGAUGAUACGCGAGGAACCUUACCCGGGCUUGAAAGUUAGUGACGGAUCUUGAAAGAGGUCUUCCCUUCGGGGCACGAAACUAGGUGCUGCAUGGUUGUCGUCAGCUCGUGCCGUGAGGUGUCGGGUUAAGUCCCAUAACGAGCGCAACCCCUACCGUUAGUUGCCAGCAGGUCAAGCUGGGCACUCUGACGGGACUGCCGGUGUAAGCCGAGAGGAAGGUGGGGAUGACGUCAAAUCAGCACGGCCCUUACGUCCGGGGCUACACACGUGUUACAAUGGCAGGUACAGAGGGCAGCUACCCAGCGAUGGGAUGCGAAUCUCGAAAGCCUGUCUCAGUUCGGAUUGGAGGCUGAAACCCGCCUCCAUGAAGUUGGAUUCGCUAGUAAUCGCGCAUCAGCCAUGGCGCGGUGAAUACGUUCCCGGGCCUUGUACACACCGCCCGUCA